AUUGAACGCUGGCGGCAGGCCUAACACAUGCAAGUCGAACGAGUGGCGGACUGGUGAGUCAUGUCUGGGAAACUGCCUGAUGGAGGGGGAUAACUACUGGAAACGGUAGCUAAUACCGCAUACCAUCGGAUGUGCCCAGAUGGGGUUAGCUAGUAGGUGGGGUAAAGGCUCACCUAGGCGACGAUCCCUAGCUGGUCUGAGAGGCUGAACAGCCACACUGGACCUGAGACACGGUCCAGACGCCUACGGGAGGAAGCAGUGGGGAAGAUUGCACAAUGGGCGCAAGCCUGAUGCAGCCAUGCCGCGGGGAUGAAGAAGGCCUUGGGUGUGUAAAGGACUUUCAGCGGGGAGGCGUUACCCGCAGAAGAAUCACCGGCUAACUCCGUGCCAGCAGCCGCGGUAAUUC
Molecule: ribosomal RNA, 406 nt
Filed under: uncultured bacterium
Lineage: Bacteria
Description: partial 16S ribosomal RNA
Rfam family: Bacterial small subunit ribosomal RNA
Source: RNAcentral